This 595-nucleotide long non-coding RNA is filed under the name Mytilus galloprovincialis (Mediterranean mussel). Lineage: Eukaryota; Metazoa; Mollusca; Bivalvia; Mytilida; Mytilidae. The record is from RNAcentral.
CAACCAAAUGUUGUCCGUGCAUUUACUCAUUAACCGUUCAACCAAAGCUUUUUAAAUUUUAAUAUGUUGUUACUGACAACAAAAUGAAGGUCAAGUUCAAUAAUGACGAUUUUUGACUUUUACCGUUCAGGAGUAUGGUUCUUGGAAGAUUGAAAAAUGGCAUUUCCAGUCGUGUCCGUGCAUUUACGCAUGAACUGUUCAACCAAAGCUUCCCAAAUUUUUAUAUGUUUAACUGAUGACAAAAUGGAGGUCAAGUUCAAUAAUGACGAUUUUGACUUUUACCGUUCAGAAGUUAUGGUUCUUGGAAGAUUGAAAAAUGGCAUUUCAAGUUGUGUCCGUGCAUUUACGCAUGAACUGUUCAACCAAAGCUUCCCAAAUUUUAAUAUGUUGUUACUGAUGACAAAAUGGAGGUCAAGUUCAAUAAUGACGAUUUUGACCUUUACAGUUUAGGAGUUAUGGUUCUUGAAAGAUUGAAAAAUGAUUAUUCCAGUCGUGUCCGUGCAUUUACGCAUGAAAUGUUCAACCGAAGCUUUUCAAAUUUUAAUAUGUUGUUACUGAUGACAAAAUGGAGGUCAAGUUCAAUAAUGUCGAUUUU